AGUGAACGCUGGCGGUAGGCCUAACACAUGCAAGUCGAACGGCAGCACAGUAAGAGCUUGCUCUUACGGGUGGCGAGUGGCGGACGGGUGAGGAAUACAUCGGAAUCUACUUUUUCGUGGGGGAUAACGUAGGGAAACUUACGCUAAUACCGCAUACGACCUACGGGUGAAAGCAGGGGAUCUUCGGACCUUGCGCGAUUGAAUGAGCCGAUGUCGGAUUAGCUAGUUGGCGGGGUAAAGGCCCACCAAGGCGACGAUCCGUAGCUGGUCUGAGAGGAUGAUCAGCCACACUGGAACUGAGACACGGUCCAGACUCCUACGGGAGGCAGCAGUGGGGAAUAUUGGACAAUGGGCGCAAGCCUGAUCCAGCCAUACCGCGUGGGUGAGGAGGGCCUUCGGGUUGUAAAGCCCUUUUGUUGGGAAAGAAAAGCAGCAGGUUAAUACCCCGCUGUUCUGACGGUACCCAAAGAAUAAGCACCGGCUAACUUCGUG
RNAcentral lists this ribosomal RNA (492 nucleotides) under uncultured bacterium. RNAcentral's name for it is "partial 16S ribosomal RNA". It matches the Rfam family "Bacterial small subunit ribosomal RNA", at positions 29 to 507 of the family's 1533-position model. The record is from RNAcentral.